AAACCAGCACCUCAAGUGGUCAGGAGGAUUAUUGGGCCUAAAGCAUCCGUAGCCUGCUGCAUAAGUUUUCGGUUAAAUCCAUACGCUCAACGUAUGGGCUGCCGGGAAUACUGUGCAGCUAGGGAGUGGGAGAGGUAGACGGUACUCGAUAGGAAGGGGUAAAAUCCUUUGAUCUAUUGAUGACCACCUGUGGCGAAGGCGGUCUACCAGAACACGUUCGACGGUGAGGGAUGAAAGCUGGGGGAGCAAACCGGAUUAGAUACCCGUGUAGUCC
This 274-nucleotide ribosomal RNA is filed under the name uncultured bacterium. RNAcentral's name for it is "partial 16S ribosomal RNA". It matches the Rfam family "Archaeal small subunit ribosomal RNA", at positions 473 to 747 of the family's 1478-position model. The record is from RNAcentral.